RNAcentral lists this ribosomal RNA (433 nucleotides) under uncultured bacterium. RNAcentral's name for it is "partial 16S ribosomal RNA". It matches the Rfam family "Bacterial small subunit ribosomal RNA", at positions 29 to 507 of the family's 1533-position model. The record is from RNAcentral.
AACGAACGCUGGCGGCAUGCCUAACACAUGCAAGUCGAACGAGACCUUCGGGUCUAGUGGCGCACGGGUGCGUAACGCGUGGGAACCUGCCCUUAGGUUCGGAAUAACUCCCCGCAAGGGAUGCUAAUACCGGAUAAUGUCUUCGGACCAAAGAUUUAUCGCCUUUGGAUGGGCCCGCGUUGGAUUAGCUAGUUGGUAGGGUAAAAGCCUACCAAGGCGACGAUCCAUAGCUGGUCUGAGAGGAUGAUCAGCCACACUGGGACUGAGACACGGCCCAGACUCCUACGGGAGGCAGCAGUGGGGAAUAUUGGACAAUGGGCGAAAGCCUGAUCCAGCAAUGCCGCGUGAGUGAUGAAGGCCUUAGGGUUGUAAAGCUCUUUUACCCGGGAUGAUAAUGACAGUACCGGGAGAAUAAGCUCCGGCUAACUCCGUG